AGGCUUGAUCCUGGCUCAGGAUGAACGCUAGCGGCAGGCCUAAUACAUGCAAGUCGAACGGACUUUGAGCGAUCAAAGUUAGUGGCGCACGGGUGCGUAACACGUACACAACAUGCCCUUGACUGGGGGAUAGCGGUGGGAAACUGCCAGUAAUACCCCAUAGUCUUUGGUGCUGGCAUCGGCACUAAAGUAAAGCUGAGGCGGUCAAGGAUUGGUGUGCGUCCGAUUAGCUAGUUGGUAGGGUAACGGCCUACCAAGGCGACGAUCGGUAGGGGGUGUGAGAGCAUGGCCCCCCACACGGGUACUGAGACACGGACCCGGACUCCGUACGGGAGGCAGCAGUAAGGAAUAUUGGACAAUGGUCGGAAGACUGAUCCAGCCAUGCCGUCGUGCAGGAAGAAUGCCCUCGGGGUUGUAAACUGUCUUUUGUGACGGGAAUAAACCACCCGACUUGUUGGGUUGUCUGUAAGGUACCGUCAGAAUAAGCACCGGCGUACCUAUCCCGUGUCC
RNAcentral lists this ribosomal RNA (510 nucleotides) under uncultured Bacteroidota bacterium. RNAcentral's name for it is "bacterial SSU rRNA". It matches the Rfam family "Bacterial small subunit ribosomal RNA", at positions 9 to 516 of the family's 1533-position model. Lineage: Bacteria; Pseudomonadati; Bacteroidota. The record is from RNAcentral.